This 2558-nucleotide long non-coding RNA is filed under the name Gallus gallus (chicken). RNAcentral describes it as "lncRNA (ENSGALG00010018238.1)". Lineage: Eukaryota; Metazoa; Chordata; Aves; Galliformes; Phasianidae. The record is from RNAcentral.
CCUGCGUUUCUUCCGACAGUUUUACACCACCACCACCACCACUAUCUGUGUGGGUUGGGGAGAGAAUUUUUUUUUUUCCUCCUCUUUCCCUAAAGCGAAGCGUGAUGGCAGCGGGACACGCGCGCACACAUUCCCGAGCCGCACACGCACACGCGCUCCGACCCUCCUUUCCCACCCCUUUUCCUUACAUCCCGGCGGCGAGGGUUUCUCUGGGAGGAAUUCACUCUCCGCCACGAAUCGGGAGACGCUGGGCUCCCGAGGAGCGCACCUCGGGCACUUUCCCCAUUUCCCACGCAGUCUACAGGUAUGUUCCUGUUUCUUCCCACAGUCACAGGUGGAGGGGAGCACACCUCACUGGCACGCAGAGCACAAACUGACAGCACCCCGUCUGCUGAGGAUGCCAGUAAGGUGCCGCCUGGACAUCCACACAGCUCUGGGGUCGUCGUCGUUAUUUACAAAAACAAAAUAAAUGGAAGGAAGAUGGGCAAAAUCUGCUGUUGCUGGGGAGGCUGUUUCAAAAAGAGCUGGCACGUGUUCCCUACCGAAUCCAGUCCAAGGAUUGUUUGUGUCUUUAGAAAGCAAGUGCCAUCGCUGCUUGAUGCAAUGAGCUGAGCUCUGGGAACCAGCACUCGUUAGCACCAGUUUCACUGAAAAAGACAGAAAGAAAGAAGAAGGACAACUAGGAUGAGAGAGAUUUUCCUCCAAAAAAAAAAAAAAAAAAAAAAAAAAGUACUUUUAAAAGAAGCCCCAUUAUGUAAAAGCACAGCAUUGUCUCAGUGUCUCUAUCCAGAGCUUCAUGCACAGCUCAUUUGGCAUGGGAAGGGGAAGAAAGAACCCCUCCUCCAAACAUAGUCCUUGGAACAUAAACAUCCCAUACAUCCCAUAACACAGGAGCCAUAGAGCUCUCCUCUGCUUUCAAAUGCAAGUUUGUAACUUUCAGCCAAUUUCUACUCUUUGCUUUCUCAGAUGAUUUUAAGAUUUAAACCUUGGGAGUAUCUAAAAUAACAAAGGCCUCGAAGCUCUCAACGUGGCAAUGAAAUCUUCAUCUUGAACUCAUGGCAGAGAUGUUCCAGGCCGACUCUUGUGAAUCAUGAAAAUCUUAAUCUGAACAUCAGAAAGGAGAGGCACCUCCUCUGUUACUCUUCUUUAUUCCUUUAUGCUUUUCCCACUUCAUUUUAUUUAAAUAGGGUUACAUUCAUAGUAAUAUAGUCAUGGUGGUGGCUGUUGUUUUCAUUGUUGCUAUUAUUAUUAUUAUUGUUGUUGUUAUUAUUAUUUUAACUCAGGUGGCAGAACUCAAAGAGGAACAUUCAUUGGUUUCUGGAUUCAGCAGCAGCCUCUACAGUUUCAUUAUUCCUGUUGACAACAGAGAAGUGCAGAUGCCUGGCCUGGGAGCGCUCGUGUAUUGCACCCAAAUUACACAUUCUUGUUCAUAAAGAGUAGAGCAAAGUAUAAAUGUGAAACGUCGUUGCUCAUGUCUCAGGCAACUACUCACAUCUUAAUUGAAAACGAUCCAAUAACAGCAUCCUCUCAGACAAAGCAAUUCCGCCUAUCUCUGCACUCACUGAAGGCUGUCGUGCCGCAUGGGCAGCAGAUGGCCUUGGCCAUCACCACCCCAGAGCACACAGAAGGAUACCCAGUGCCGCUUUGGGUUUCCUUUCCCCUCAGGCCCCUUGAGAUGGUCCCAGUGGUGAUGGCAGAGACAUGCUCCUGAUGUCAGGGUCACACUUGCCACUUUCCCUAUCCUGCUUUCACUGCAUCCCAUACACCUCUGCUUUUGUUCUGCUUGGGAGCUGCAGGUCAGUGACACAGUGUUGGUUGGUCAUUCCUCAUCCCUCAGCUGCCCCUUCAAAAUGCAGUUCAGGCUGCCCAGAGAGCUGUGCCCAUCUCUGAAGGCAUUCAAGGCCAGGUUGAAUGGGGCCCUUGGCAGCCUGUGCUGGUGGAUGGCAGCCAACCCAUGGCAGAGGUUUGGAAUGGGGUGAUUGCUGAGGUCCCAUUCAACCCAACCCAUUCUAUGAGUCUGUGACUGAGCCACCUCACAUCUGGGACCAAAGCUUCAGAGGCAUGAUACUCAAUGGCCACAGAGAUGCAAAGUGUUUGCAGAGCAGCAAAUAAAGUCUUUCCUGAGCCAACUGUUCCACCUGGACCCCACUACAAAUUAUUGUUUUCAAUUACCACCUGUGUACUCCUUCCCAUGCAACUUAUUGAUGUAAAAUUACAACAACACUGGUAUAAAUAAGUUAUGCUGCAGUUGUAAAAUGGAAGAAAUUUUGUUGUAGCAAUUAUGUUCAGCAAGAUGACAAAAUAAAUUUCCAGUGCUGUGCUUGCAGUAACCUGGGGAAUUUAAACCUCAUAAUUUCCAUUCAUUUCAGAUAAUUUGGAGUAAUUUCUAUAUGUAAUAACUUUGUAAUGAAAAACACAGCGGUACUGAAGUGAUUUCAACUCUUUUUUUUUUUUUUUCCUCCUAUGGUAUACAUGGCACGAAAUAAAUAAUAAAAAUAAUAUUUCCUUUUUGUAUGUGUUCGGUAAUUCUUUCAGCAAAAUCAUAAACUAAUACCAGG